This 253-nucleotide ribosomal RNA is filed under the name uncultured bacterium. Its description in RNAcentral is "partial 16S ribosomal RNA". It matches the Rfam family "Bacterial small subunit ribosomal RNA", at positions 524 to 776 of the family's 1533-position model. The record is from RNAcentral.
UACGUAGGGGGCUAGCGUUGUCCGGAAUCAUUGGGCGUAAAGCGCGUGUAGGCGGCCCGGUAAGUCCGCUGUGAAAGUCGGGGGCUCAACCCUCGAAUGCCGGUGGAUACUGUCGGGCUCGAGUGCGGAAGAGGCGAGUGGAAUUCCUGGUGUAGCGGUGAAAUGCGCAGAUAUCAGGAGGAACACCGAUUGCGAAGGCAGCUCGCUGGGACGUUACUGACGCUGAGACGCGAAAGCGUGGGGAGAAAACAGG